UAGCAACAGCCAGCCACCAUGUUGGGAGAGUGUGGAGCAGAAGAGAGACACCAUACCUGAGUGCAGGACAGAGAGGUGUGACCACCAUGUGAAGGAGCUGGGAAAGCAUGGCAUGAGCACAGUGCAGUCUCUCAUAGGUGCCUUUCAUGAUGCCAAGCCUUAGCAUCUUUGCAUGACCUCUUCAGCCCUGGGAUGUCAACUGCAACUGAAGAUACACUUUCAUCAAUGGACUUCUGUGGCCUCAGCUGCUUUCCAGGACACUUUUACACCUUGAAAACCAGUACCAUCUAGGUGAUACUUGAUAAAUUACCAAGUCCAGCUUCAGCACGAGUAGAGCUUAAAAUCUUGGCUCUUACUGUGGUACAAGCCCAAAAUAAGAA
This is a long non-coding RNA of Mastomys coucha (southern multimammate mouse), 380 nucleotides long. RefSeq lists it as uncharacterized. The transcript is spliced from 4 exons. Lineage: Eukaryota; Metazoa; Chordata; Mammalia; Rodentia; Muridae. The record is from RefSeq and is a predicted model, not a curated record.